Molecule: ribosomal RNA, 468 nt
Filed under: uncultured bacterium
Lineage: Bacteria
Description: partial 16S ribosomal RNA
Rfam family: Bacterial small subunit ribosomal RNA
Source: RNAcentral
GACGAACGCUGGCGGCGUGCUUAACACAUGCAAGUCGAACGGAAAGGCCCUGCUUUUGUGGGGUGCUCGAGUGGCGAACGGGUGAGUAAAACGUGAGUAACCUGCCCUUGACUUUGGGGUAACUUCAGGAAACUGGGGCUAAUACCGGAUAGGAGAUCCUGAUGCAUGGGGGGGGUUGGAAAGUUUCGGCGGUUGGGGAUGGACUCGCGGCUUAUCAGCUUGUUGGUGGGGUAGUGGCUUACCAAGUCUUUGAAGGGUAGCCGGCCUGAGAGCGUGACCGGCCACAUGGGGCCUGCGAUACGCCGCAGAAGGCAACGUGCGGCAGUAGUCGGGAACCUUGCGGAACGGCGCGAAGUCUGAUGCAGCAGUCUUGCGUUCGUGAUGAUGUCUUUUGGGUUGUAAACCGCUUUCGCAGGUGCUGAAGCGGGCGUGACGGUACCUGGUAAAGAAGCCCCGGCUAACUACGUG